Molecule: ribosomal RNA, 245 nt
Filed under: uncultured bacterium
Lineage: Bacteria
Description: partial 16S ribosomal RNA
Rfam family: Bacterial small subunit ribosomal RNA
Source: RNAcentral
UACGGAGGGUGCAAACGUUGCUCGGAAUCAUUGGGCGUAAAGCGCACGUAGGCGGCGCGCUGUGUCGGAUGUGAAAUCCCUCGGCUCAACCGAGGAAGUGCAUUCGAAACUGGCGUGCUUGAGUAUGGAAGAGGGUCGCGGAAUUCCCGGUGUAGAGGUGAAAUUCGUAGAUAUCGGGAGGAACACCAGUGGCGAAGGCGGCGACCUGGGCCAAUACUGACGCUGAGGUGCGAAAGCGUGGGGAG